CUGAAGUCUAUGUUUAUCUCCUUAUUAAAUUGGGUUUCCGGAGCUUCUAUAUUUUUCUUUUGAAUUUAGAUUAAGCAUCCUAGAUUCUUCUUUUGUAACGACAUUUUCUUUGGUUUCAUGCUUGCAUAAUGCCCAUGUGCUUCUAACUCAUAAAUGCCCAUGUACUUCCAGAUUGCAUGCAUGCUUGCUCCAUGACAUUUUGCUUAUGUCAUGAAACUCAUUUUCUUGCUCAAUUAAUUUAUCUCUAUGACAUCUUAUUUAUGUCAUGAAGGUUAACUCUUUAUUUAAUUACUUUGGCUCCAUGACAUCUUACUUAUGUCAUGGAGCUCAAUUCUUGGCUCAAUUACUUUAGUUUUAUGAUAUCUUUCUUAUAUCAUACUUCUUACUUGCAUGCUUUCUUGUUUUUCUCUAGCAUAUUUUCGCAUGCAUGCUCUCUCGGCUUCUUGCUUGCAUGCUGUCUCGCUUUCUCCUAACAAUAUCAUUAUAGUCCUUUGGAUUUAAAUAUUUUAAUCUUCGCCAUUGAUUUAAUUAAGUGAAUAAAUAACUAACUACUUAAUAAUUAAUAGAUAAUAUUCAAGUUCAUGGAUAUAAUU
This 593-nucleotide long non-coding RNA is filed under the name Citrus x clementina. Its description in RNAcentral is "Citrus clementina (C. clementina) long non-coding RNA (CCLE_LNC004620)". The record is from RNAcentral. Lineage: Eukaryota; Viridiplantae; Streptophyta; Magnoliopsida; Sapindales; Rutaceae.